RNAcentral lists this non-coding RNA (29 nucleotides) under Pyrococcus abyssi GE5. The record is from RNAcentral. Lineage: Archaea; Methanobacteriati; Methanobacteriota; Thermococci; Thermococcales; Thermococcaceae.
CUUUCCACACUAUUUAGUUCUACGGAAAC